Molecule: transfer RNA, 83 nt
Filed under: Lactiplantibacillus plantarum
Lineage: Bacteria; Bacillati; Bacillota; Bacilli; Lactobacillales; Lactobacillaceae
Description: tRNA-Leu
Rfam family: tRNA
About the family: Transfer RNA (tRNA) molecules are approximately 80 nucleotides in length. Their secondary structure includes four short double-helical elements and three loops (D, anti-codon, and T loops). Further hydrogen bonds mediate the characteristic L-shaped molecular structure. tRNAs have two regions of fundamental functional importance: the anti-codon, which is responsible for specific mRNA codon recognition, and the 3' end, to which the tRNAs corresponding amino acid is attached (by aminoacyl-tRNA synthetases). tRNAs cope with the degeneracy of the genetic code in two manners: having more than one tRNA (with a specific anti-codon) for a particular amino acid; and 'wobble' base-pairing, i.e. permitting non-standard base-pairing at the 3rd anti-codon position.
Source: RNAcentral
UGCGGGUGUGGCGGAACUGGCAGACGCGCUAGAUUUAGGUUCUAGUGUCUUACGACGUGGGGGUUCGAGUCCCUUCCCGCACA